GCACCAUAGCCAAGCGGUAAGGCACCGGACUUUGAUUCCGUUAGCGUGGGUUCGAAUCCCACUGAGGUAGUUUGUCUUA
This 79-nucleotide transfer RNA is filed under the name Caudoviricetes sp. Its description in RNAcentral is "tRNA-Gln". The stretch from base 5 to 64 matches the Rfam family "tRNA", at positions 6 to 65 of the family's 71-position model. Rfam says of the family: Transfer RNA (tRNA) molecules are approximately 80 nucleotides in length. Their secondary structure includes four short double-helical elements and three loops (D, anti-codon, and T loops). Lineage: Duplodnaviria; Heunggongvirae; Uroviricota; Caudoviricetes. The record is from RNAcentral.